This 692-nucleotide ribosomal RNA is filed under the name uncultured bacterium. RNAcentral describes it as "bacterial SSU rRNA". It matches the Rfam family "Bacterial small subunit ribosomal RNA", at positions 62 to 741 of the family's 1533-position model. The record is from RNAcentral.
UCGAGGGGCAGCAUGGCCUAUCUUUCGGGAUGGGCCGAUGGCGACCGGCGCACGGGUGAGUAACGCGUAUCCAACCUUCCCUUUACUGGGGUCCAGCCCGUCGAAAGGCGGAUUAAUCCCCCAUGUUCUCCGUCCCGGACAUCUGUGUCGGAGCAAAGAUUUAUCGGUAAAGGAUGGGGAUGCGUCCGAUUAGCUUGUUGGCGGGGUAACGGCCCACCAAGGCAUCGAUCGGUAGGGGUUCUGAGAGGAAGGUCCCCCACACUGGAACUGAGACACGGUCCAGACUCCUACGGGAGGCAGCAGUGAGGAAUAUUGGUCAAUGGCCGUAAGGCUGAACCAGCCAAGUAGCGUGAGGGAAGACUGCCCUAUGGGUUGUAAACCUCUUUUAUGCGGGGAUAAAGGUGUCCACGUGUGGAUGUUUGCAGGUACCGCAUGAAUAAGGACCGGCUAAUUCCGUGCCAGCAGCCGCGGUAAUACGGAAGGUCCGGGCGUUAUCCGGAUUUAUUGGGUUUAAAGGGAGCGUAGGCCGGUCUUUAAGCGUGCCGUGAAAUUUUGUGGCUCAGCCAUGAGAGUGCGGCGCGAACUGGAGACCUUGAGUGCGCGGAAGGCAGGCGGAAUUCGUGGUGUAGCGGUGAAAUGCUUAGAUAUCACGAAGAACCCCGAUUGCGAAGGCAGCCUGCCGCAGCGUUACU